This 1711-nucleotide small RNA is filed under the name Rattus norvegicus (Norway rat). Its description in RNAcentral is "uncharacterized LOC102554669". The stretch from base 1344 to 1412 matches the Rfam family "tRNA". The record is from RNAcentral. Lineage: Eukaryota; Metazoa; Chordata; Mammalia; Rodentia; Muridae.
CCUGUGGGAGCGGAGCGCAGAUCAGCACCGGGCGACUCGGCCCUCCUCCUCUCCUCCCUCCCCCUUAACCCCGGUCCUCCCCGCCUCCAACUGGGCAGAGCGCGCCUGCGGGUGGGCUCUGGAAGCCAAGUGCAAACCCUCCAACACAAAGUUCACGGCCACCGGGGCAGGGCCUGGCUGGGCAGGGCGCUCCGGGCAGCAGCUGCCCCCCGCAGGCCCGCGCCGGGACAGCGCGGUCCUCAGCCUGGAGGCCGCUCGGGGACCCCGCCGAGCCGCGGGCCCACCUGUGACGAGGAUUACAGAGACACAACACUGCUUCUCAUUUAACACUAUCUUCUUGCUGAAUGGUCUGGGACAUUUCCUGCUCUAAGCCACUCAGGUACCAGCACCUGAUCUGUGGGCUUGGUUACCCACUCAAGUGUCAGCACCGUGGACCACCUCGUCUGUGCACGGGGUACCCAGGUUGAAAUGAGACAGUCACCUGCUUUCGGAGCGGAUGUGGUCAGAUGCCUGCCUGCCUGCCUGCCUGCCUGCCGCCAUGCUUCUCACCGUGAUGCUCUGGGACGAGUCUCUGAAACCGUAGUCUCCCCAUAAACUCUGCUUCUACAAAUCACGUUAGUGCCUAAAUAUGUCGCCUUGGUCAGGUGUUCUACCUCAGCAACGGACAAGUAACGAAUGACGCUCAAAGGAGAGACUCGAGUGUCUUAGUAUUAAGUUGUCAUCAUUUUGGUUACUCUCAAGUUACAUCUCAAAGGCUCACUAAAGAUUCUCUCUCCCUCACCCCUCCUCCACCUCUCCCUUGUUCCUCUCUGAGAUGAGGUCCCAUGUAACCAAAGAUGACCUUGAACUUCUAAUCCUCCUGCCUUCACCUCCCAAGCGCUGGGCUCACAGCUCUGCACCACCACACAGUUGGUGGUGUUGAAGCCGGGACUCAGGGCUUCGUGAUGAUGGAGGCCAAACAUGCUACCAAUUGCGCCAUACCCCACCCGGCUAGUUUUUGAUAAACGAUUCCACAGGAUAGCUAUGGAGGUAACUUGCAUGGAGUCGAACUCUGAUAAGGUGAAACAGGGAAGCCCUGUGGCUGCACGGGGCUUUAGCACACACCUUUUACUGUAGUGGAGUUUCUGGGGAGAUUCCUACAAAAUGCAGGUUACAGCUGGGAAGGGAGAAAGGCCUUCAGGAGGUGCGGCUCCUUGUGCUGGAAUUUUUACUUCUUAGCUGGAGAGAGGCUGCAAGCAGGAGCCUGGAGGAGGGAUCGUUUCCGUUCACAGGUCCCCACAAUGUCCCUGGCUUUGUGUCCUUCUCAUUGCAGACAAGAAGUUAAAACUCUAGGUGUGGGGGUUGGGGAUUUAGCUCAGUGGUAGAGCGCUUGCCUAGCAAGCGCAAGGCCCUGGGUUCGGUCCCCAGCUCCGGAAAAACAAAACAAAACAAAACACUGCAUUAAAAAAACUCCAGGUGUGGAGGGCCUCAUUCCCUCCAAAGGUUCUUGGAAACCACCCUUCCCUGUCAUUCUAGAAUAUAGUGACUCCAGGUUCCUGGGCACACGUAACUGAAAUGUCCUUAGCUCUCUCCUCGUGACUCUCUAGGUCCCUUCCUCUUAUAAGGACACCAGGCAUUGUUUGCAUUUAGGGCUCAAGCUUGAUACAGAAUGACAUUGUCAUUUCCACGCACACAUUCCCUUCCCUUACCCCUCCCACAGUGCACCCUUGUA